Molecule: long non-coding RNA, 4647 nt
Filed under: Cucumis sativus (cucumber)
Lineage: Eukaryota; Viridiplantae; Streptophyta; Magnoliopsida; Cucurbitales; Cucurbitaceae
Description: long non-coding RNA (CSAT_LNC000647)
Source: RNAcentral
UAAAGAGUUCCCACCAACGCCGGUGUAUGAAAAGCCACUUCCACCACCUGUUCCAGUUUAUGAAAAACCUGUUCCACCACCUACACCGGUAUAUGAAAAGCCACUUCCACCACCUGUUCCUGUUUAUGAAAAACCUCUUCCCCCACCUACACCGGUCUAUGAAAAACCACUUCCACCGCCUACUCCAGUUUAUGAAAAACCUCAUCCUCCGCCUACACCUGUCUAUGAAAAGCCACUUCCACCGCCUGUUCCUGUUUAUGAAAAACCUCUUCCCCCACCUACACCGGUCUAUGAAAAACCACUUCCACCGCCUACUCCAGUUUAUGAAAAACCUCAUCCUCCGCCUACACCUGUCUAUGAAAAGCCACUUCCACCGCCUGUUCCUGUGUAUGUAAAGCCUAUUCCUCCACCUACUCCGAUCUAUGAAAAGCCACUUCCACCUCCUGUUCCGGUUUAUAAAAAACCUGUUCCUCCACCUACACCAGUCUAUGAAAAGCCACAUCCACCGCCUGUUUAUGAAAAGCCACUUCCACCUCCUGUGUAUGUAAAACCUAAGCCUCCACCAGUGCCAAUCUACAAAAAGCCACUUCCACCACCGGUUCCUGUUUACAAAAAACCUUGUCCUCCCCCUGUUCCUAUUUACAAGAAACCUAAUCCUCCACCAGUAUAUGAGAAGCCACUUCCACCACCAGUUCCUGUUUAUAAGAAACCUAAUCCUCCACCAGUGCCAGUCUACAAGAAGCCUCUUCCACCUCCUGUUCCCAUAUAUAAGAAACCCCUCCCUCCACCUGUUCCCAUUUACAAGCAUCCAUUUUUCAAGCACAAACACCCAUUCUUCAAGCAUAAACACCCAUUCUUCAAGCAUUUGCCUCACAUUCCAAAAAUUCCCCAUCAUCCAUUUUUUAAGAAGCCAUGGCCACCUAUCCCUCAAUUCCCUCCUGUUCCCAAGUCCCCACCAAAGUACUUCUCCCACCACAUGUUUGGAGGGUUCCCUAAACAUCCACCGGUUGUUUCUCAUCCUUAGAAUGUCAUUGUCUUGCAGCAUUGUUGCUUUUUUCUUAAUAAGCAAUGAAAGAGAUGGUUAAUGUGCAGUGGAAGUUUAGUAACUUUCAAGUUCUACAAAUAAAGCUCCAGUUUCUGACUUACAAAUUGAACCAAAUCAGAAGGGAGAAAAAGAAGCAGGAGUGAAUUGUUGUUUUGUUUUUAAUUUUUCUAUAAAAAAAUUGGAAUUGUGUGGAUUGUUUAUGGUUGUUGUUCCACAGUUUGAGAUCAGGAUUCUGUAAAUGUCAAUGAACAGAUUUUUCGUUUGAGAAAACUUUCACCUUGAGGUUCUUGCAUGCUAUGGUUGUUUAUCCAGGAAAUGAUAAUGAAAAAGGCAUAUUAUUUAUCUUUUUUUUCCCCUAAAUAUCAUUUGUUUUUCUAUCUCUCGUAUUCUUCCUGCUCCUGAAGAGUUGUAAUCUCAAAUUGCAUGAACUGGAAAUAAAAAUAUCAAACUAUGCUAUAUAAAAAACAGAAAAAGUAUAUAGUACUCCUAAACUGUGCAUAAACGUCUCUUAAAAAACAAAAACUAUCUUGAAACUGAACUCCAUGUUAAAUAGGAUAAACAAAUGAAGAAUGUAUGGAGAAGUUUGGUUCCUUGUGCUAUCAUAUACGAACACAAACUAUGCAGACUAUGCAAACUUUGCUUCUCCUUUUUCACAUAGAUUGUUAUUGCCAUCUGGAACCAACGUAAGUUGAUGGGUCCAAUGGCUUAUAAAAUGCAGUUUGACCAAAUCAGGUGGGAUUGGGAGUUUGUUGAGCAGAUGCAUACAUAUAUUGCUAAGAGAAGAUCGAGUUUGUUAUAGUCCUAAACGCCCUUUUAUUCGACUAUUGAUGAUGUUUGCAGCAAUAGCUAAGAAGCCACCAUAGGUACCUCGUACAAGCUUAACUCCGAUGCUUCUUUCACCGUGUGCGAGUGGUGGGCUUUUUAGAGCGAUUCUUAGUAUUUCCAAUGGUGAACCAAUGAUUUUGAUGCAUGCUCUAAUGUUCACAACUAUUGUUCAGCUCAAUGCUGCUCUCGAGAGAGAAAUGGUUUAAAUAGUUUUAGUUAUUUUCUUAAUGGAAGAUUGUAACUAUUUCAACAACUAUGUGGAACCUUUGAUGUGUUUUAGACUUUUUUUUCUCUUCACAAAAAUUGUAAUUACAUUGCUCGUAUUCUUAGGAACCAACGUCUAGGGUGUUUUGAUAUGUUUACUAAUUUGAUAACUCUCGAUAGCAAAUUGAGACUUUUGAAAUAGUGUUUAGUGUAGCUAAUUGAAAACUAUUUAAAUAGUUUUUACGGUAGCAAGAUGUGGUUAUUACAGUCCUAGAUAGUCUUUGCCCUAAACAACCCAUUGGUUUCUUGUUCUUCUUUGUAUUGCUAAACAAAAAACGAGCUUAACACAAUGUAAUUGUUAUGACAUUUCCAUCUUAUAAGUCAAAGGUUCAAAUACCCCAAUUCAUAAAAGCUUGUACAACUCUAACGAGUCAUUUGGUCCUCAAACUAUGAAGGAGUAGAGUGGUUUAUUUUAGUUCACUCAAUGUUUGCCCCAAAAAUUAUUAUAAUCCUAGAAUUAGGACUAUUCUACAUUUUUUCUUAUUUCUCCUAUUCCUCGCUCUCCUUUCACUAUUCCUCACCUCUAUCUCUCCUAUAUGUCCAUAUUUCCCACUCUCUCAUUUAACUAUUUCUCAUUUAUCUAGAUUAUACAACCUAAACUAUAAUAAUUUGUACUUUAAACACGUACUGUAAUAACUCACAAACUAUUAUAACCACAUAUUAUAAUAACCCACAAACUAUUAUAAUCACAUAUUAUAAUAACUCAUCCCAUGCUCCAAACGCUCUUUAAGAAAACGGGUGUAGGUUAAAAAAGAGAAAUAAAUGAUUGUACUCUAAAACAAAUAAAAGAUUAUAGAAUGAUGUAAUAUUUCACAGUAAUGAUAAAAAUAGGAUACAUAAGAAAAAUAUUUAAAAAAUACAGUGUUUUCCCUGAUCUAGCUUUCAAUGACAAACUAAGGUAAAAAAUAGGAACAUUUAAAAAGUGGCUAACCAUGCCACACGUUGGCCAAAAUCGAAGACCGAAGCCAUACUCAACUUCAAUUUUUUUUUCUAAUUAAUUUUUAUGUGACCAUACGUGAAGGUUUAAAAAUAACUCGACCAUUCGAAUAAUCCAUAUUUUAAGAAUAGAGUUGGAUUAGUUUAAAUUUUAGAUUGAAUGAUAUGGUUUUUGUUUUUUAUUUUUAUUUUUCGAGUUGGUCAUAUCAACAAUAACCCUCCAACUUCAAGAAGAUGAACCGAAUCAAUCCGGUCCGACUUUGCUUCGUACUUAAAUCGAACUUUCCAGUACUUUCGGUUCGGUUCGGUUCUCGGUUUCCCCAAACAGAGCCACUCAAAUUUAGAUUUAGGGUUCCGUUAGCAAUUUUCAGCGCAUUUUUAUUUGAAUCGGUCGUUUGUUGAACGCGUUCUCUCUCAGCUGGUUUAGGGUUCAUCGUUCUCUCUUCUCGCGCUAGAUCUUUCUCUCUCUCAGGUUCGUUUCUUUCUCUUAGGCCAUUUAUUAGAAGAUCCUCUUCAUUCUCCGAUUUUCGUUCGGUGUUCGCCCUUGGUAUCUCAGCAGACCUAGGAAGUUUGGUUUCCGUUUGGUGAAUCUGUUUGGGGUAUUACGAAUUAUAUUUUGUACUGGGCUUUCAGCAUAGUCUUUUUCUUUCUGGGAAUAUAUGCAUCUGAAAAUUUAUUUGUUUGGCUUUUCUUUAUAAAGUAUGAGGACAUAUACAUCUCGAUAGCUAAUCCUUGAUUAUAGUCUUUUUUUUUCUAUGUUGUUUGAAUCUGUUCUUUCAUUUCAUUAAAUCUUUUGAAUCUGAAAUUUUAUUUCUUGGAUGAAUUGCAUACUGUUGAAUUAGAAGUUUAUUGGUUAGAUUGUUGAUAUUUGCCCUAAGUUCUAUGGAUGGGUUUGCGUUUUUCACCUUUUCGUUUGCCUUUUCUUUUGGCUGACGGCAUCUUACAUAGACUCUGCUCGAAAAGGUGCCGUGAUUUUUUUCCUGGUUUUAUCUGAGUUUGCACAAUUUAGAUUUGAAGUGAUGAUUUGUCUAAAAUUCAAUAUCUAUCGGCCAUACUAUUUUUUGUUAUUUUGAGUUUUUCAGGAUGACUGCUAGAGAAUGAAAAAUCUCGGAACAUUGUGUUCUGUAGUUCAAGAAUAUUGUAGUCUGUUCUUUUCUAGACUAUCUCAUUUGAUACAACCCUUUAAAUUUAAUCAAAUUUUGUUAAUAUUCAAAUCCUCGGACUUAGGCCUUACUCUGGUUGCCCACUAUUUUAAGCUUAGAAGCCUACUCUGGUUCACUUAAAAUUUGCAUGCUACUUAUCUUAUUUCACGUGACUCUUCACGUUUGUAGACAUCAAUUUUUCAGCCUUCAGGUAAAUGAACACAAAAAGGAGUGAAGUCUGCCUUCUGUGUGAUGGUCUUUUAAACAAUUAUAGGGAUUAAGAUGGUUUUUUUAUUCAAUGCAUAGAUAUUAAAUUAGAACGAUGACGGUCAUUAAUAUUAAAAUUGACAAUAGAAGGUUCCUUAUAUUAUUUAGAGUAUACAUUAAAAACAGCCUGAUUCUUGGCUUGGCAGGUUCCUGAUCACCUUGUAAACA